RNAcentral lists this ribosomal RNA (194 nucleotides) under uncultured bacterium. RNAcentral's name for it is "partial 16S ribosomal RNA". It matches the Rfam family "Bacterial small subunit ribosomal RNA", at positions 335 to 526 of the family's 1533-position model. The record is from RNAcentral.
ACUCCUACGGGAGGCAGCAGUGAGGAAUAUUGGUCAAUGGGCGCAAGCCUGAACCAGCCAUGCCGCGUGCAGGAAGAAUGCCCUAUGGGUUGUAAACUGCUUUUAUUUAGGAAUAAACUCUUGUACGUGUACAAGCCUGAAGGUACUAAAUGAAUAAGCACCGGCUAACUCCGUGCCAGCAGCCGCGGUAAUAC